This 301-nucleotide ribosomal RNA is filed under the name uncultured bacterium. Its description in RNAcentral is "partial 16S ribosomal RNA". It matches the Rfam family "Bacterial small subunit ribosomal RNA", at positions 509 to 809 of the family's 1533-position model. The record is from RNAcentral.
CAGCAGCCGCGGUAAUACGAAGGGGGCUAGCGUUGCUCGGAAUUACUGGGCGUAAAGGGAGCGUAGGCGGAUGUUUAAGUCAGAGGUGAAAGCCCAGGGCUCAACCUUGGAACUGCCUUUGAUACUGGACAUCUUGAGUGUGGGAGAGGUAAGCGGAACUCCGAGUGUAGAGGUGAAAUUCGUAGAUAUUCGGAAGAACACCAGUGGCGAAGGCGGCUUACUGGCCCAUUACUGACGCUGAGACUCGAAAGCGUGGGGAGCAAACAGGAUUAGAUACCCCCGUAGUCCCUGUCUCUUAUAA